This 497-nucleotide ribosomal RNA is filed under the name uncultured bacterium. Its description in RNAcentral is "partial 16S ribosomal RNA". It matches the Rfam family "Bacterial small subunit ribosomal RNA", at positions 28 to 507 of the family's 1533-position model. The record is from RNAcentral.
GAUGAACGCUGGCGGCGUGCCUAAUACAUGCGAGUCGAGCGAACGGACGAGAAGCUUGCUUCUCUGAUGUUAGCGGCGGACGGGUGAGUAACACGUGGAUAACCUACCUAUAAGACUGGGAUAACUUCGGGAAACCGGAGCUAAUACCGGAUGAUAUUUUGAACCGCAUGGUUCAAAAGUGAAAGACGGUCUUGCUGUCACUUAUAGAUGGAUCCGCGCUGCAUUAGCUAGUUGGUAAGGUAACGGCUUACCAAGGCAACGAUGCAUAGCCGACCUGAGAGGGGGAGCGGCCACACGGGAACUGAGACACGGUCCAGACUCCUACGGGAGGCAGCAGUAGGGAAUCUUCCGCAAUGGGCGAAAGCCUGACGGAGCAACGCCGCGUGAGUGAUGAAGGUCUUCGGAUCGUAAAACUCUGUUAUUAGGGAAGAACAAAUGUGUAAGUAACUAUGCACGUCUUGACGGUACCUAAUCAGAAAGCCACGGCUAACUACGUG